This 67-nucleotide transfer RNA is filed under the name uncultured Succiniclasticum sp. It matches the Rfam family "tRNA". Rfam says of the family: Transfer RNA (tRNA) molecules are approximately 80 nucleotides in length. Their secondary structure includes four short double-helical elements and three loops (D, anti-codon, and T loops). Further hydrogen bonds mediate the characteristic L-shaped molecular structure. tRNAs have two regions of fundamental functional importance: the anti-codon, which is responsible for specific mRNA codon recognition, and the 3' end, to which the tRNAs corresponding amino acid is attached (by aminoacyl-tRNA synthetases). tRNAs cope with the degeneracy of the genetic code in two manners: having more than one tRNA (with a specific anti-codon) for a particular amino acid; and 'wobble' base-pairing, i.e. permitting non-standard base-pairing at the 3rd anti-codon position. Lineage: Bacteria; Bacillati; Bacillota; Negativicutes; Acidaminococcales; Acidaminococcaceae. The record is from RNAcentral.
CGGGUGUAGUUAAGUGGUAUAACCUCAGCCUUCCAAGCUGAUGUUGUGGGUUCGAUUCCCAUCGCCC